CGCCCAGCUGCCGCUGUUUAGUUUUUUUCCCUGGCUUCUCUGCUGUUCGCCUGUUCUAGUGUUCUUCACGGUCACGGGCAGGCUGCAGCUUUGCAGAUUGUCUCCAUCCCGCCAAUCCCGCCAGCAACCCAGCACAACCGCUCGUCAGAUUUGCUGCUAGCUUCUUCCGUGUGGCUGUUCUCCAAGAGUCUGACGCCCACAAAUUUGCUGCUAGCUUCCACCCUCUGACUCCCACGCUGCCCGCACUACCAUCUCGUGUGAAGGAAGAGCUGUGCGCGAGAAAGUUCUGCAUAUGUGUUGUUGGCCUGCUGUGCACUAGUUCUUCACGUGGCGGCUCUCCACAAGACAGCAAGCGCAGGACAGCGACGAGUUGGGUGGAGGCGCUGGCACAAUUCCUGCGAUGUUGUGGGAUUCGGACAGCGAAGAUGAAGUGCACGUGGUUGACCAUCCUAGUGAGCAUCGUGUUGCUACUCACGUAGAGAAAGGAAAGACCAUGGCUGAUGCCAACGCAUCUUUUAGUGGUGCUGAUGUGGUGCUUGAUCGAUAUGGGGUACCCCAAGACUCCUAAACUCUGCUGGUAACCACCAUCAGCACAAGCUGCAAAGGUCUGAUGGGCGUAAUACAGGUCAAAGCUCCAUCCACUCAAGGGACACGAUCUUGCCUCGCCCGAGCCCAGCCUCGGGCAGGAACAGUAGACCCAGGCGGAUUCACGCCUCGCCCGAGGGCCUCCUCAAGCAACGGGCGCACCUUCGACUCGCCCGAGACCCAGCUCGGGCAGGCUUCGCAGUGAAGCAACCUUGGCCAGAUCGCCUCGCCAACCGACCAUAUCGCAGGAGCAUUCAAUGCAAGGAUCGCCUGACACCUUAUCCUGACGCGCGUUCCUCAGUUGACAGGGCCGAAGUGACCGCAGUCACUUCGCCCCUCCACUGACUGACCUGACAGGAAAACAGCGUCGCCUGCCCUGUUCCGACUGCUGUGCCACCCGUCAGGGUGAGGCUGACAGCAGCCGAGUCCAGCUGUAAUACUCAAAAGUGUAUAAAAGGAUUAUAUGGUGAUAUCCUUAUUUUAUGUGU
Molecule: RNA transcript, 1073 nt
Organism: Zea mays
Lineage: Eukaryota; Viridiplantae; Streptophyta; Magnoliopsida; Poales; Poaceae
Exons: 3
Source: RefSeq, marked validated